CUGCUCACUUUGGCAGCACAUAUACUAAAAUUGGGACGAUACAGAGAAGAUUAGCAUGGUCCCUGCACAAGGAUGACAGGCAAAUUCGUGAAGCAUUCCAUAUUUUA
Molecule: small nuclear RNA, 107 nt
Organism: Ursus maritimus (polar bear)
Lineage: Eukaryota; Metazoa; Chordata; Mammalia; Carnivora; Ursidae
Source: Ensembl